AAUGAACGUUGGCGGCGUGGAUUAGGCAUGCAAGUCGCGCGAGAAAUUUCCUUCGGGAAAUGGACAGCGGCGGAAGGGAGAGGAAUAAGUAGAAAUCUGCCCUCGGGACGGGGAUAGCGGUGGGAAACUGCCGGUAAUACCCGAUAACAUCUUUGGAUCAAAUGGUGUGAUUCCGCCUGAGGAUGAGUCUACUUCCUAUUAGCUAGUUGGUGGGGUAAUGGCCUACCAAGGCAACGAUGGGUAGCGGGUGUGAGAGCACGACCCGCCUCACUGGGACUGAGACACUGCCCAGACACCUACGGGUGGCUGCAGUCGAGAAUCUUCGGCAAUGGGGGAAACCCGUGACCGAGCGACGCCGCGUGCGGGAUGAAGGCCCUUGGGUUGUAAACCGCUGUCGUAAGGGAACAAAUCCAUAGGGGUACUCCCCUAUGGUUGAGUGAUCUUAGGAGGAAGGACGGGCUAAGUUCGUG
Molecule: ribosomal RNA, 470 nt
Filed under: uncultured bacterium
Lineage: Bacteria
Description: bacterial SSU rRNA
Rfam family: Bacterial small subunit ribosomal RNA
Source: RNAcentral